This 72-nucleotide transfer RNA is filed under the name Candidatus Izimoplasma sp. HR2. RNAcentral describes it as "Candidatus Izimaplasma sp. HR2 tRNA". It matches the Rfam family "tRNA". From Rfam's summary of the family: Transfer RNA (tRNA) molecules are approximately 80 nucleotides in length. Their secondary structure includes four short double-helical elements and three loops (D, anti-codon, and T loops). Lineage: Bacteria; Bacillati; Mycoplasmatota; Mollicutes; Candidatus Izemoplasmatales; Candidatus Izemoplasmataceae. The record is from Rfam by way of RNAcentral.
GCUAUUAUAGUUUAAUCGGUAGAAUUUCUCACGUGGAGUGGGGAGGUGUAGGUUCGAAUCCUACUAAAGCCA